AAAAUUAAGUGUAAGUUAGAUAUUAGAAUAAGAUAUUAU
Molecule: non-coding RNA, 39 nt
Filed under: Trypanosoma brucei brucei
Lineage: Eukaryota; Euglenozoa; Kinetoplastea; Trypanosomatida; Trypanosomatidae
Source: RNAcentral